CAAAAGAUGGUCUUAAGUUACUGGAUGACAUUACUCCUGGGUCCCUUCCCCCCAAGUCCCCUUCUCUUCACAGUAGCCACAGUCACCUCAGAACUAGACUGCGUGGACUCGUGUCCCAGCUCUGCACUCACUGCCCAGGUCACCCUGAACAAAGUGCUUAAACCCUCUGUGCCCUUGCAGUUCCUUCACCCACUAAAUAGGGAUUUGAACAAUAACAGUACCUGCAUCACAAGGCUGUUGUGAGCAUUAAAUGACCUGAUAAUGCAGAAUGCUUACCACAGUGCCUAGAACUCAGUAGGCACUCACAGUGCCCACAGGAAGCCAUAAAUGUUAGCCAGUAUUAUUACUACCCACAUUAAUAUUGUGCUUUUCUGUUUUAGUCAGUAAGUUAUCAUCAUAUCGGAGACCUGGGAGGGGCCUAUCUCAGGACACUGGGCUGGUGCUGGCAGCUGGGAGCCAAGGGGCUGGGAGACCUCUGAAAUGCAGGAGAGGAGGAUACAGUGGGCAUACUGUAAAUGCUGAAUGGAGGAAUGAGUGAAUGAAUACACAUAUCUGGUGUCUGGAGGAGAAUAAAGCCAUACCAGCAGGAGUUGACAGUUUACAUUGGGAAGGAUCAGAUGACACACUUAGCCCAUGCACUGAACAAGCCCAACGAGACACCAACUGUGGCCAUAAUCCUCACAACAUGAAGUCUGGAAUGAUUUCUUACAUGGUGAGUGAAGUAGUACCAUGUUACCUGCCACAUUCCUGGCCACAGCUGAUAAGAUCAGAG
This is a long non-coding RNA of Fukomys damarensis (Damara mole-rat), 772 nucleotides long. RefSeq lists it as uncharacterized. The record is from RefSeq and is a predicted model, not a curated record. Lineage: Eukaryota; Metazoa; Chordata; Mammalia; Rodentia; Bathyergidae. The transcript has 3 exons.